Molecule: non-coding RNA, 244 nt
Organism: Cinara cedri
Lineage: Eukaryota; Metazoa; Arthropoda; Insecta; Hemiptera; Aphididae
Source: the annotation of a GenBank genome assembly
CACUGCCGCACUGUCGCGCGCAUGAACGAUCCAGAACGUGUGUUUUUUUUUUUUUUUACUAAAACUAUGUAUUUUUGGUCCAUCGUACCGAUCGAUCCAAUAAUGCGAUAACAUUUUUGAAAACUAAUCCGAAUUCGUUAUAAUGUCUACUCGAGAUCGGUCAGUUCACAUUCUAAGAUUUCUGAUUUAUAUUCCAAAUAAUCAACGUUUGAAAAUGCCGAAAUUUCAAAAUAUUCAAACUAAA